RNAcentral lists this ribosomal RNA (820 nucleotides) under uncultured Propionibacterium sp. Its description in RNAcentral is "bacterial SSU rRNA". It matches the Rfam family "Bacterial small subunit ribosomal RNA", at positions 37 to 870 of the family's 1533-position model. Lineage: Bacteria; Bacillati; Actinomycetota; Actinomycetes; Propionibacteriales; Propionibacteriaceae. The record is from RNAcentral.
CGGAUGCGCAGCUUACCAUGCAGUCGGACGGUAAGGCCCCUUUCGGGGGGUACACGAGUGGCGAACGGGUGAGUAACACGUGAGGAACGUGCCCUUGACUUCGGUAUAGCUCCAGGAAACUGGUGGUAAUCCCGAAUAUGAGCCUGGCCUGCAUGGGUUGGGUUGGAAAGCUUUAUGCGGUCAGGGAUCGUCUCGCGGCCUAUCAGCUUGUUGGUGGGGUAAUGGCCUACCAAGGCAGCGACGGGUAGCCGGCCUGAGAGGGUGACCGGCCACAUUGGGACUGAGAUACGGCCCAGACUCCUACGGGAGGCAGCAGUGGGGAAUAUUGCACAAUGGGCGCAAGCCUGAUGCAGCAACGCCGCGUGCGGGAUGACGGCCUUCGGGUUGUAAACCGCUUUCAUCCAUGACGAAGCGCAAGUGACGGUAGUGGGAGAAGAAGCACCGGCUAACUACGUGCCAGCAGCCGCGGUGAUACGUAGGGUGCGAGCGUUGUCCGGAAUUAUUGGGCGUAAAGAGCUUGUAGGCGGUUGAUCACGUCGGAAGUGAAAUUCCAGGGCUUAACUCUGGGCUUGCUUUCGAUACGGGUUGACUUGAGGAAUGUAGGGGAGAAUGGAACUCUCGGUGGAGCGGUGGAAUGCGCAGAUAUCGGGAAGAACACCAGUGGCGAAGGCGGUUCUCUGGACAUUUCCUGACGCUGAGAAGCGAAAGCGUGGGGAGCAAACAGGCUUAGAUACCCUGGUAGUCCACGCCGUAAACGGUGGGUACUAGGUGUGGGUCCCUUCCACGGGGUCCGUGCCGUAGCUAACGCAUUAAGUACCCC